UCUCCUGGAAACGGGUGGUAAUGCCGGAUGUUCCACAUGAGCGCAUGCGAGUGUGGGAAAGGCUUUUUGCGGCAUGGGAUGGGGUCGCGUCCUAUCAGCUUGUUGGUGGGGUAACGGCCUACCAAGGCGUUGACGGGUAGCCGGCCUGAGAGGGCGACCGGCCACAUUGGGACUGAGAUACGGCCCAGACUCCUACGGGAGGCAGCAGUGGGGAAUAUUGCACAAUGGGCGCAAGCCUGAUGCAGCGACGCCGCGUGAGGGAUGGAGGCCUUCGGGUUGUAAACCUCUUUUAUCGGGGAGCAAGCGUGAGUGAGUUUACCCGUUGAAUAAGCACCGGCUAACUACGUGCCAGCAGCCGCGGUAAUACGUAGGGUGCAAGCGUUAUCCGGAAUUAUUGGGCGUAAAGGGCUCGUAGGCGGUUCGUCGCGUCCGGUGUGAAAGUCCAUCGCUUAACGGUGGAUCCGCGCCGGGUACGGGCGGGCUUGAGUGCGGUAGGGGAGACUGGAAUUCCCGGUGUAACGGUGGAAUGUGUAGAUAUCGGGAAGAACACC
Molecule: ribosomal RNA, 551 nt
Filed under: uncultured Bifidobacterium sp.
Lineage: Bacteria; Bacillati; Actinomycetota; Actinomycetes; Bifidobacteriales; Bifidobacteriaceae
Description: bacterial SSU rRNA
Rfam family: Bacterial small subunit ribosomal RNA
Source: RNAcentral